This 765-nucleotide ribosomal RNA is filed under the name Enterococcus faecium. RNAcentral describes it as "bacterial SSU rRNA". It matches the Rfam family "Bacterial small subunit ribosomal RNA", at positions 45 to 790 of the family's 1533-position model. The record is from RNAcentral. Lineage: Bacteria; Bacillati; Bacillota; Bacilli; Lactobacillales; Enterococcaceae.
AGUUUGAUCCUGGCUCUCACUCAAGUCCGAACAAUGGAUCCAGCAGAGUUUGAUCAGGGGCGAACGGGUGAGUAACACGUGGGUAACCUGCCCAUCAGAAGGGGAUAACACUUGGAAACAGGUGCUAAUACCGUAUAACAAUCAAAACCGCAUGGUUUUGAUUUGAAAGGCGCUUUCGGGUGUCGCUGAUGGAUGGACCCGCGGUGCAUUAGCUAGUUGGUGAGGUAACGGCUCACCAAGGCCACGAUGCAUAGCCGACCUGAGAGGGUGAUCGGCCACAUUGGGACUGAGACACGGCCCAAACUCCUACGGGAGGCAGCAGUAGGGAAUCUUCGGCAAUGGACGAAAGUCUGACCGAGCAACGCCGCGUGAGUGAAGAAGGUUUUCGGAUCGUAAAACUCUGUUGUUAGAGAAGAACAAGGAUGAGAGUAACUGUUCAUCCCUUGACGGUAUCUAACCAGAAAGCCACGGCUAACUACGUGCCAGCAGCCGCGGUAAUACGUAGGUGGCAAGCGUUGUCCGGAUUUAUUGGGCGUAAAGCGAGCGCAGGCGGUUUCUUAAGUCUGAUGUGAAAGCCCCCGGCUCAACCGGGGAGGGUCAUUGGAAACUGGGAGACUUGAGUGCAGAAGAGGAGAGUGGAAUUCCAUGUGUAGCGGUGAAAUGCGUAGAUAUAUGGAGGAACACCAGUGGCGAAGGCGGCUCUCUGGUCUGUAACUGACGCUGAGGCUCGAAAGCGUGGGGAGCAAACAGGAUUAGAUACCCUGG